Molecule: long non-coding RNA, 566 nt
Filed under: Phasianus colchicus (ring-necked pheasant)
Lineage: Eukaryota; Metazoa; Chordata; Aves; Galliformes; Phasianidae
Description: lncRNA (ENSPCLG00000016414.1)
Source: RNAcentral
CCCACAACCCCCCCCACCGCCCCCCGACCCCCUCUCUCCCCUCAGGUGAAGGCUGAGGACCCCCCGGAGCCGCCCCCCCACCUCCCCCCCACCCCACUGAUGUUGGGGGGAAACCAGCUGGGGUUGGCGGCGCUGCUCCCGGCCCCACAGCAGCUCCUGUUGCAGCAGCAGCUCCUGGCGGCCGCCGUCCAUCACCGCUCCUCCGCCACCCCGAAUGUCCCCCCCACCCCAAAUGUCCCCAACGCCCCCAUUGACCCCAAUGUCCCCAACGCCGUCCCCACCACCGCCGCCGCCGCCGCCCCCACCGAGGGGGGGUCCACAGCGCUGCCCCUCUCCCACCCCAUCCAGCUGACGGCGCAGGACCUGCAGCAGCUCCUGCAGCUCCAGCAGCUGGUUUUGGUGCCCGGCCCCCACGCGCUGCCGCCGUCCGCUCCGUUCCUGCUGCCCCCGACCCCACAGGGACAGCAAGGGCUGCUGCCCACCCCCAACCUCUUUCAGCUACCUCAGCCGACCGGGGGGCUGCUGCCCGCCCCCCCCCGCGCGGGGCUGCCCCAGCAGGUAGGGAC